RNAcentral lists this ribosomal RNA (500 nucleotides) under uncultured bacterium. Its description in RNAcentral is "partial 16S ribosomal RNA". It matches the Rfam family "Bacterial small subunit ribosomal RNA", at positions 30 to 523 of the family's 1533-position model. The record is from RNAcentral.
AUUGAACGCUGGCGGAAUGCUUUACACAUGCAAGUCGAACGGCAGCACGGGGGCAACCCUGGUGGCGAGUGGCGAACGGGUGAGUAUUACAUCGGAACGUGCCCAGUCAUGGGGGAUAACGUAGCGAAAGUUACGCUAAUACCGCAUACGAUCUACGGAUGAAAGCGGGGGACCGUAAGGCCUCGCGCGAUUGGAGCGGCCGAUGUCAGAUUAGGUAGUUGGUGAGGUAAAGGCUCACCAAGCCGACGAUCUGUAGCUGGUCUGAGAGGACGACCAGCCACACUGGGACUGAGACACGGCCCAGACUCCUACGGGAGGCAGCAGUGGGGAAUUUUGGACAAUGGGCGCAAACCUGAUCCAGCCAUUCCGCGUGCAGGACGAAGGCCUUCGGGUUGUAAACUGCUUUUGUACGGAACGAAAAGGCUCUGGUUAAUACCUGGGGCUCAUGACGGUACCGUAAGAAUAAGCACCGGCUAACUACGUGCCAGCAGCCGCCGUAA